This 246-nucleotide ribosomal RNA is filed under the name uncultured bacterium. RNAcentral describes it as "partial 16S ribosomal RNA". It matches the Rfam family "Bacterial small subunit ribosomal RNA", at positions 28 to 265 of the family's 1533-position model. The record is from RNAcentral.
GAUGAACGCUAGCUACAGGCUUAACACAUGCAAGUCGAGGGGCAGCGAGAAGAAAGCUUGCUUUCUUUGUCGGCGACCGGCGCAUGGGUGAGUAACGCGUAUCCAACCUUCCCCUUAGUAGAGGAUAGCCCGGCGAAAGUCGGAUUAAUACUCUAUGUUAUUCGUUGAGGACAUCUGAAAUGAAUCAAAGGUUUACCGCUAAGGGAUGGGGAUGCGUCUGAUUAGGUUGUUGGCGGUGUAACGGCC